This 73-nucleotide transfer RNA is filed under the name Candidatus Shikimatogenerans bostrichidophilus. RNAcentral describes it as "tRNA-Ala". It matches the Rfam family "tRNA". Rfam says of the family: Transfer RNA (tRNA) molecules are approximately 80 nucleotides in length. The record is from RNAcentral. Lineage: Bacteria; Pseudomonadati; Bacteroidota; Flavobacteriia; Flavobacteriales.
GGGGAAUUAGCUUAAUUGGUAGAGCACCUGUUUUGCAUACAGGAGGCUAUCGGUUCGAUUCCGAUAUUCUCCA